AAAAAAUGAUAAGUAUAACACGUUGCAACUCGUUCAAGUUUCUGAAUGUUAUUGUUCUUUUCAUAAACCUAACCAUUUGGGCCUCCAAGCAAUCAGUGAAAAUACACUAUCCCAUGCUAAAAUGCCAUCGAGCAAACUGAUUAACAAUGUGAUUUAAAUAUUAUCAAAAUCUCACUCUUAGAGCACUUAUACGAGACAGAAAUUGCUUUACUUCUAAAUGUCAAAAGAGCCGCUCAUCAUCCAGACAUCCCAUCCGUUUAAUCGAUCUAUGCUUAUUAAUUUGACUAACUAUAGUGCCUAUUCAAUAGCAACAGUCGGAGCUAAACUUUUAACAGUAGCUAGAAAUGUCGCCAAUGGAUUAGCUCUAUAUAGCUUGAAAUUUCCCCAGACACCAGGAAACAAGUAACUCAAAUCCAAU
This 418-nucleotide unclassified non-coding RNA is filed under the name Hevea brasiliensis (rubber tree). The record is from RNAcentral. Lineage: Eukaryota; Viridiplantae; Streptophyta; Magnoliopsida; Malpighiales; Euphorbiaceae.